AGUGAACGCUGGCGGUAGGCCUAACACAUGCAAGUCGAACGGCAGCACAGUAAGAUCUUGCUCUUACGGGUGGCGAGUGGCGGACGGGUGAGGAAUACAUCGGAAUCUACUUUUUCGUGGGGGAUAACGUAGGGAAACUUACGCUAAUACCGCAUACGACCUACGGGUGAAAGCAGGGGAUCUUCGGACCUUGCGCGUUUCAAUGAGCCGAUGUCGGAUUAGCUAGUUGGCGGGGUAAAGGCCCACCAAGGCGACGAUCCGUAGCUGGUCUGAGAGGAUGAUCGGCCACACUGGAACUGAGACACGGUCCAGACUCCUACGGGAGGCAGCAGUGGGGAAUAUUGGGCAAUGGGCGCAAGCCUGACCCAGCCAUACCGCGUGGGUGAAGAAGGCCUUCGGGUUGUAAAGCCCUUUUAUUGGGGAAGAAAAGCAGUGGGAUAAUACCCCGCUGUUCUGACGGUACCCAAAGAAUAAGCACCGGCUAACUACGUG
This 492-nucleotide ribosomal RNA is filed under the name uncultured bacterium. RNAcentral's name for it is "partial 16S ribosomal RNA". It matches the Rfam family "Bacterial small subunit ribosomal RNA", at positions 29 to 507 of the family's 1533-position model. The record is from RNAcentral.